Molecule: ribosomal RNA, 495 nt
Filed under: uncultured bacterium
Lineage: Bacteria
Description: partial 16S ribosomal RNA
Rfam family: Bacterial small subunit ribosomal RNA
Source: RNAcentral
GACGAACGCUGGCGGCGUGCCUAAUACAUGCAAGUAGAACGCUGAAGGAGGAGCUUGCUUCUCUGGAUGAGUUGCGAACGGGUGAGUAACGCGUAAGUAACCUGCCUGGUAGCUGGGGAUAACUAUUGGAAACGAUAGCUAAUACCGCAUAAUAGCAGCUAUUGCAUGAUAACUGUUUGAAAGUUGCAAUUGCUCCACUACCAGAUGGACCUGCGUUGUAUUAGCUAGUUGGUGGGGUAACGGCUCACCAAGGCGGGGAUACAGAGCCGACCUGAGAGGGGGAUCGGCCAGCCUGGGACUGUGACAGGGCCCAGACUCACACGGGAGGCAGCAGUAGGGAAUCGUCGGCAAUGGACGGAAGUCUGACCGAGCAACGCCGCGUGAGUGAAGAAGGUUUUCGGAUCGUAAAGCACUGUUGUAAGAGAAGAACGAGUGUGAGAGUGGAAAGUUCACACUGUGACGGUAUCUUACCAGAAAGGGACGGCUAACUACGUG